AGAUUGAACGCUGGCGGCAGGCCUAACACAUGCAAGUCGAGCGGUAGAGAGGUGCUUGCAUCUCUUGAGAGCGGCGGACGGGUGAGUAAUGCCUAGGAAUCUGCCUAGUGGUGGGGGAUAACGGUUCGGAAACGGACGCUAAUACCGCAUACGUCCUACGGGAGAAAGCGGGGGACCUUCGGGCCUCGCGCCAUUAGAUGAGCCUAGGUCGGAUUAGCUAGGUUGGUGAGGUAAUGGCUCACCAAGGCGACGAUCCGUAACUGGUCUGAGAGGAUGAUCAGUCACACGUGGAACUGGAAGACCGACGGUCCAAGGACCUUCCGAACGGGAGGCAGCAGGUAGGGAAUAGUUGGAACAAGUCGGGGACGAAAGCCUAGACUCCGAAGCCAGUCGGCCCGUCGGUUGGUGUA
RNAcentral lists this ribosomal RNA (410 nucleotides) under uncultured soil bacterium. RNAcentral describes it as "bacterial SSU rRNA". It matches the Rfam family "Bacterial small subunit ribosomal RNA", at positions 26 to 386 of the family's 1533-position model. The record is from RNAcentral.